CUCAAAGAUUUUUAUCUGAAAAAAGACCAGUGGUAAUAGAUAGAGCUCCUCAACGGCAAAAGAAACUGGAAGUGGGAAGUGCUCGGUUACAUAUGCUGCCUCUCUUUAAAUGUUUUCACCUAGCAGGAAAUGAGAAAGUAGCUUAAUAUUUGUAUUCAUGAGUGCUCUGAUAUAUUUGUCUGAAUCUGCUUUAUCUUAACUGUCAGCAAACUGCUAAGCAAGGUCAUGAUUGUAUUCACCAGUAAUUCGGAAGUGAGCAAUCAGAAUUGACUUCUUACAUGUAAUUAUGCCCAGGAUAUAUAUUUAAGUUAUCUGUAAUGUUCCUUCUAUAGCUGCAAUUCCACCUCACAUGCUGUAUCUCUUCCUGCAGACCCUUUGGUAACUGACAGAGGGAGACUGGUUGGAACAAUGAUCAAGAAAAGAAUAAGCAGCUAAACUAAACUGGAACUUUAAAAAUAAUUUGCACUUUCCUCACGUCCUUUGUUUGCCCUUUGGCCAGCAGUGGUUCUUCCAGAAUGUUUUACGUUGUGAAGUACCUCUGGAAGCCAUCUGGUCCCUUCUCCUUUCUCAGGGACACAGAAGAUCCUGAAGUUUCCAAAGUAGAAGCAGAGACUACUACACAAACUGCUGUCUGUCAGCUGCUCUGUUAGCUACAUUCUGAAGGUGAAAGAGAGGAACAGAUUUUAAAAAAAAAGGUCAGAGAAGAGAGAGUCAUGGAAAACAAUGUCAGAUGGAGGAAAAAAAGGUCAUAGAAGAGAAAACCAGGGAGGAUAAAACUAGUGAAGGAUGGAGAAGAGAAACGGUCAGAGAGGAGAAGUCAGAAAAAAGCUGUUCCAAGAACAAUAAAAAUAUAAGUGAGAGACAAGAUGCAGGAAAAGAAGAGGUCAUAGAAUGUCAGAGAAGUUCAGAAAAGUUCAGAAUAUCAGAGAAGGACAAGAAAGUUUGUAAAAGCUCAGAAGUUGUCAGAGCAAGUUAGACCUUGCCAAAGAGGAGAUCAGACAGGGCAAGGCAAGGCAAGGCAGCAAAAGGAAAGGCAACCCUUUGGAUUGUUUAUGCCCUUCUGUGUGUGUCCAUCCAACAGAUGUGUGAGGACCAGGGCCAGCACAGAUGCACAGACUGGCACACCUCCUGCAGGACAGGGCAUUUCUUCUAUCCACAGAGAGGCCCAAGUGCUCUCCCAGGAGCCUGCAGAGCUCCACCUGCCAACAGAAGCGCUGUCUGAACCAAUGUCUGCAUCCCAG
Gallus gallus (chicken) is the source of this 1241-nucleotide long non-coding RNA. Lineage: Eukaryota; Metazoa; Chordata; Aves; Galliformes; Phasianidae. The record is from Ensembl.